GGAGGAUCUUUUACAAAUCGCUGAUGACGUGUUUCGGGAAACUCGUCAUGGCAGCUCCUGAUUGGCUGAGAGCUUCAAAGAACAAGAGUCAAGAGUCAAGAGACCUCAAGGAAAUAUUUAGUUUCUGUUAAGCAGCGGCAAUGAUAAGACGUCACUGACAUCUUGCAUAGAUGAAUACAGAGAGCUGCUAGUUGUAUGCAGAAGGGCCCUUCUUGAUGUGUAUUGAAACCGGAAGCAACAAAGGUUACAUUGAGGAGCUGAGGAGGAGCAACUACGUUAAUGAAGACCACACACUCGAAGCCCCAUCUGCUCCCACUCUCACUUAACUGAAGAAGAGUCUUCUAUGGAGGGUAGGAAAGUUCCUCUCUCGUUUUCGGAAAAGAAAUCAUUGUCGAGGACGAGUCUUAACGAGCGUAAUGGCGGAAGCGAAAUGUAAAUUAAUGUCCAUGAUGAGGAACUGAGCCGAAGGAAACUGAACUUCAGAAAAUAUGAGAAGGAGAAAAUACGAAAAGGUCAGAGGUUAAAGAAAGGCAAUUCUGUCACUUGAGCUUUCAGUUAAGAACUGUAAACU
Macrobrachium nipponense is the source of this 571-nucleotide long non-coding RNA. RefSeq lists it as uncharacterized. The record is from RefSeq and is a predicted model, not a curated record. Lineage: Eukaryota; Metazoa; Arthropoda; Malacostraca; Decapoda; Palaemonidae. The transcript is spliced from 4 exons.